Molecule: ribosomal RNA, 433 nt
Filed under: uncultured bacterium
Lineage: Bacteria
Description: partial 16S ribosomal RNA
Rfam family: Bacterial small subunit ribosomal RNA
Source: RNAcentral
AGCGAACGCUGGCGGCAGGCCUAACACAUGCAAGUCGAACGAACUCUUCGGAGUUAGUGGCGGACGGGUGAGUAACACGUGGGAACGUGCCUUUUGGUUCGGAAUAACUCAGGGAAACUUGUGCUAAUACCGAAUGUGCCCUUCGGGGGAAAGAUUUAUCGCCAUUAGAGCGGCCCGCGUCUGAUUAGCUAGUUGGUGAGGUAACGGCUCACCAAGGCGACGAUCAGUAGCUGGUCUGAGAGGAUGACCAGCCACACUGGGACUGAGACACGGCCCAGACUCCUACGGGAGGCAGCAGUGGGGAAUCUUGCGCAAUGGGCGAAAGCCUGACGCAGCCAUGCCGCGUGAAUGAUGAAGGUCUUAGGAUUGUAAAAUUCUUUCAACGGGGACGAUAAUGACGGUACCCUGAGAAGAAGCCCCGGCUAACUUCGUG